Molecule: ribosomal RNA, 371 nt
Filed under: uncultured organism
Description: partial 16S ribosomal RNA
Rfam family: Bacterial small subunit ribosomal RNA
Source: RNAcentral
GGAGGGUGCAAGCGUUAAUCGGAAUUACUGGGCGUAAAGGGUGCGUAGGUGGUUAGUUAAGUUAUCUGUGAAAUUCCCGGGCUUAACCUGGGGGGGUCAGAUGAUACUGAUUGACUUGAGUAUGGUAGAGGGUAGUGGAAUUUCCGGUGUAGCGGUGAAAUGCGUAGAUAUCGGAAGGAACACCAGUGGCGAAGGCGACUGCCUGGGCCAAUACUGACACUGAGGCACGAAAGCGUGGGGAGCAAACAGGAUUAGAUACCCUGGUAGUCCACGCUGUAAACGAUGUCAACUAGCCCGUUGGUCACAUGAAUGUGAUAAGUGGCGCAGCUAACGCGAUAAGUUGACCGCCUGGGAGUACGGUCGCAAGAUUA